CCAGGAGGGGUGGGCAACCACUGGCCCGUGGAUCCCCCGAGGUUUUCUUCUCCCUCAACCUUCAAUUCGGAGUUUUUGUUCCUUUCCCCGGUGGCCAUUCCACAGGGAAAGAAAAGGUGAACGAGGAGUGGAAAACAACAGCCCUCCUUCUAAACUUUCUUCUGUGCACAACUACGGGCUAGACAAGAGAGUGGUCAAGGGACAGGCAGUGGUCAGCCGAGGCGCAAUCGUCGUCCAAAGGAGUAUUCUGAGAUUCAGAGCCAGAGAGAUGAGAGCAAUGAUCAGGGAG
Molecule: long non-coding RNA, 289 nt
Filed under: Scleropages formosus (Asian bonytongue)
Lineage: Eukaryota; Metazoa; Chordata; Actinopteri; Osteoglossiformes; Osteoglossidae
Description: lncRNA (ENSSFOG00015031554.1)
Source: RNAcentral